AGAGUUUGAUUAUGGCUCAGGAUGAACGCUGGCGGCGUGCCUAAUACAUGCAAGUCGAGCGAACCACUUCGGUGGGAAGCGGCGAACGGGUGAGUAACACGUAGGUGAUCUGCCCAUCAGACGGGGACAACGAUUGGAAACGAUCGCUAAUACCGGAUAGGACGAAAGUUUAAAGAUGCUCCUGGCAUCACUGAUGGAUGAGCCUGCGGCGCAUUAGCUAGUUGGUGGGGUAAAGGCCUACCAAGGCGACGAUGCGUAGCCGACCUGAGAGGGUGAACGGCCACACUGGGACUGAGACACGGCCCAGACUCCUACGGGAGGCAGCAGUAGGGAAUCUUCGGCAAUGGGCGAAAGCCUGACCGAGCAACGCCGCGUGAAUGAAGAAGGCCUUCGGGUUGUAAAAUUCUGUUAUAAGGGAAGAAAGGUGAUAGGAGGAAAUGACUAUCAAUUGACGGUACCUUAUGAGAAAGCCACGGCUAACUACGUGCCAGCAGCCGCGGUAAUACGUAGGUGGCAAGCGUUAUCCGGAAUUAUUGGGCGUAAAGAGCGCGCAGGUGGUUAAUUAAGUCUGAUGUGAAAGCC
This 582-nucleotide ribosomal RNA is filed under the name uncultured bacterium. RNAcentral describes it as "bacterial SSU rRNA". It matches the Rfam family "Bacterial small subunit ribosomal RNA", at positions 8 to 602 of the family's 1533-position model. The record is from RNAcentral.